Molecule: small RNA, 392 nt
Filed under: Pongo abelii (Sumatran orangutan)
Lineage: Eukaryota; Metazoa; Chordata; Mammalia; Primates; Hominidae
Description: processed transcript
Source: RNAcentral
UUCUGCGAUAUUCCUUUCCCAGACUGUUUUUUUCCUAGAUGUGCCUGCUGGAGUCUAGGGAUAGUUGGCAUAUUGAUUGGGGCCCCACUUGAAACUCCCUCCCCAGGCAAGCUUCCUUGACCUGAGUUAACCUUAAAACAAAUUAAAUUCCAUCUCAGAUUUACCAUCGUUGAUAAUGUUCUUUCUCCUCCUUAGAAGGAAUGGAUGAAGGGAAGGAACCACAGAAGCAGUUGGAAGGAGAUUGCUGUAGUUUCAUCACCCAGCUUGUGAACCACUUCUGGAAACUCCAUGCAUCCAAACCCAAGAAUGCCUUCUUGGCACCUGCCUGCCUUCCAGGACUAACUCAUAUUGAAGCUACUGUCAAUGCUCUGGUGGACAUCAUCCAUGGCUAC